RNAcentral lists this ribosomal RNA (253 nucleotides) under uncultured bacterium. RNAcentral describes it as "partial 16S ribosomal RNA". It matches the Rfam family "Bacterial small subunit ribosomal RNA", at positions 524 to 776 of the family's 1533-position model. The record is from RNAcentral.
UACGAAGGGGGCUAGCGUUGCUCGGAAUCACUGGGCGCAAAGGGUGCGUAGGCGGGUCUUUAAGUCAGGGGGGAAAUCCUGGGGCUCAACUCCAGAACUGCCUUUGAUACUGAGGAUCUUGAGUUCGGGAGAGGUGAGUGGAACUGCGAGUGUAGAGGUGAAAUUCGUAGAUAUUGGGAAGAACACCGGUGGCGAAGGCGGCUCACUGGCCCGUAACUGACGCUCAUGCACGACAGCGUGGGGAUCAAACAGG